Molecule: long non-coding RNA, 759 nt
Filed under: Heterocephalus glaber (naked mole-rat)
Lineage: Eukaryota; Metazoa; Chordata; Mammalia; Rodentia; Bathyergidae
Description: lncRNA (ENSHGLG00100040418.1)
Source: RNAcentral
GCACAGGAAGAGGAAAAGCAGGCCAUCUGUGCACGUAGGAAAACAGCACCGGGACAAAAAUAGUUAAGCUGGUGAGGGAAGCAAUACGAGUCUAAGAAACUGCGGAUCCGCUGAGCGAGGCUGCCUGUCUUUCCCCUUGUUUGAACGGACCUUUCGGUUUCUCAGGUAAGUCAAGAACACGCCUUCUGAACUGGGCUCUCAGGAAGCCACUGUUGAACUAACUAAGGCCAUCCACUUCCGUUCGAAGGGAAUAAGAAUUUUAGUCAAUAAUGAGGAGGAGCUCCGCUGGGUUGUUCUCUGUCGUGGUCUCCAGCAGUGACCCAGAUGAAAUAACCACUGCAACACUGACUACUCGAUCUGCCGGCUUGAAAGACUCCAGACCGGUGACUUUAUGGAUUAUGAUUCACCUUCCCUGUCCUGUUUUGAUGAGACACCACGACGGAACCAUCCCUGUCAAUAUAAGUUUCCAGUUUCCACCCUGUCAAUUCGCCCUGUACUAAUUGGCGCGCAGGUGAGAUUUCCUGUCGCCAUUUUAAGCAGACACGAGUCCCUCACAAGGAAGUGCCCAGUUAGAAGGGGCUGUGCUUGAAACAAAGAGUAGGCUGAAGAAAGAGAACCGGGCCCAGCAGCUCCCGCCCUCCAUCCUUCUCCCGCAUCCUCCAACGCUCCCAGUCCGGACUUGGGAGGGCCGGGAACGCCGCAGCCCUCGGGGCGGAGUAACGCGGAAUCUCCACUCUCGGCCUCUUCGCGCCUAGACAG